GUCAACAACUUUGGUUGGCCCUUUGGUUGGCCCUCACGGCCCUUCACUUUAUCAAAUCUGGCCCUCUUUGAAAAAAGUUUGGACACGAUUCUAGGAGAAGGAAAACUCUGAUCCUAAACCUCCACUGCCUUGCGGGAUAUGUUCAGGAGAAGAAAAGACUAUGGAGUGAGCCCUACACAAAUCCAAAGUGGAGUCCCUAAGAUAAUAAGAGAUGGGUCAGUACGGUGAAGCCGAGCAACCUGCUUCAGGAGGUAUCAUAAAGCAACAGGACCAGUGCAAGACAUCUACCUGUCUCAAGUGAAGGACAAGAUGGUUUUCUUCAUUCCAUGUACUAAAGCUGACUGGACUGGCAACUGUCAACACUGGAAACAUGGCAGCACCUUCUACUACAUCUGAGGACAGCAAACUGGCUGCUGGGGCAGUCUGUGUGGUCUACCCAGUCUUUUGGUAACAGAAAUGGCAACAUGUUUAAAUUAAAUACACAGCUUUUCAUCCCCUAAGAAGUCUGACCUGCAGUGAACAGGGGCUGGCAGAGGCAAACUUCUUGGUUGAAAAGCACUCCCAUCCGUAUGCAUAAUGAUGAGAGUAACCCAGUACCUCACUUGACUGAUUAACAAUUUAAAUUCUCAAUUUUAGAGGUUCAAAUUAGUGUUAAAUCUCCUUUAGAAGCUCUAAUGAAUUUAAUUAAACUAAUUAAAUUAAGAUUUUUCAGCAUCUUUUACAACUUUAUGUUUUAGGGACAAUUAGUCCAAUACAGUCCUGAAGCGGUACAUUUUCUAAGAAUGAUCUUUGUAUAAAUUAAACAAUUAAAUAUACCGGAUUUAUAUCUCACCUUCUGUUUUCUCGUUGCAGUUUCCAACUCAACUCGAGUACAAUUAAAGUGACAAAGAAAAAAGGUCCCCUUUACAAAGCCCAUAAUGAGAGAGACUCCGAAAAACUCAACACAUCCUGAAGCAGAGAUGACAAAAGCAUCUAUUCCAAGAAGGAAAAGCUGUCAUGAGUAAGACAGAGAGUGAGGGAAAACACACAUGGUGAGUGUGGUCCCAAGAGCUUCUCUGCUUUACUUAGGAGUGUCCUUCUGUUAAGAAGAGCAGUAACUCAGGUGCCAUGGUAAUGAAAGGAUUUUAAUCAUUGACAUCGCUAUGUGAAUUAUUAUUACAGAAACCCCUGCUGUUGAGUUAGACAAAAUUAACCCAGUGUAUGGGGCAUUAAAAAAAAAACUCAGCUAAUUAGUGAGCGAAUAAGAACAAAGAAAAUGGGAAAACAAAGAUGUGGAGAGGAAAGAUGCUUAGGAUCAUCUAACUAAUAUAGCUCGGCUUCGUUGGAGGAAACCAUUUAUCUGGAUGAAAUGACACCGUGGUCCAGGUUGCAGGUCCCAUAUGGAACGCGGAGAGCAAGUCAUAGGUUUAAAUCACUGCAUGGCUUGCAUUUUUUCUGCAGCUAGUCAUGCUGGUUUCCAAUGGGCAAUGCAUCAUGCUGCUGAUGUAAGAGCCGAAAUGAAGACAAUCAACCCUGAGAAUCCACCAGAGAAGUAUUCAUGCUGGGCGCCAUUUGUUCCUAAUUGCUCUUUGUAAGUUAUAGUUUGAGAUAAAGCUCCCAAAAUGGAAUAAACACAAAAUAAUAA
Molecule: long non-coding RNA, 1624 nt
Organism: Podarcis raffonei (Aeolian wall lizard)
Lineage: Eukaryota; Metazoa; Chordata; Lepidosauria; Squamata; Lacertidae
Exons: 4
Source: RefSeq, a predicted model, not a curated record